ACAAUAGGAAGGAAAACCAAUAUGAACCAGAUCGUCGAGUAUGUGAAGGAAAUAAGGGACAUGGGAAUGGAGGUUUGCUGCACCUUGGGAAUGCUUGAGAAGCAGCAAGCUUUAGAGCUCAAGAAAGCUGGUCUAACAGCAUACAAUCACAAUCUUGACACCUCAAGAGAAUACUAUCCUAAUAUUAUAACCACUAGAACUUAUGAUGAGCGGCUGGAAACUCUUAAGCAUGUACGCGAAGCAGGAAUUAAUGUGUGUUCAGGUGGAAUAAUAGGGCUCGGUGAGGCUGAAGAGGAUAGAAUUGGUUUGUUGCAUACCCUGUCAACUCUUCCAACUCACCCUGAGAGUGUGCCGAUUAAUGCACUUAUUGCAGUAAAAGGUACACCAUUGGAAGACCAGAAGCCAGUGGACAUAUGGGAUAUGAUUAGGAUGAUUUCGACAGCAAGAAUAACAAUGCCAGGUGCAAUGGUUAGGCUUUCUGCAGGAAGAGUUCGUUUUUCUGUCCCCGAGCAGGCUCUUUGUUUCCUUGCUGGUGCCAAUUCCAUCUUUACAGGUGAGAAGUUGUUGACUACACCAAAUAAUGACUAUGAUGCUGAUCAGAAUAUGUUCAAAUUACUUGGACUUGUUCCUAAAGCUCCAAAUUUCUCUGAGGAUGAAAAAGAUUCUGAAGACGAAAAGAUGGAAGCAUCUGUUUAGACUUUAGUUUAGUUCAUUCUGUAAUGAUCAACCAGAGAUCUAUCUUUUUA
RNAcentral lists this unclassified non-coding RNA (746 nucleotides) under Hevea brasiliensis (rubber tree). The record is from RNAcentral. Lineage: Eukaryota; Viridiplantae; Streptophyta; Magnoliopsida; Malpighiales; Euphorbiaceae.